GAUGAACGCUGGCGGCGUGCCUAAUACAUGCAAGUCGAGCGAACGGACGAGAAGCUUGCUUCUCUGAUGUUAGCGGCGGACGGGUGAGUAACACGUGGAUAACCUACCUAUAAGACUGGGAUAACUUCGGGAAACCGGAGCUAAUACCGGAUAAUAUUUUGAACUGCAUGGUUCAAAAGUGAAAGACGGUCUUGCUGUCACUUAUAGAUGGAUCCGCGCUGCAUUAGCUAGUUGGUAAGGUAACGGCUUACCAAGGCAACGAUGCAUAGCCGACCUGAGAGGGUGAUCGGCCACACUGGAACUGAGACACGGUCCAGACUCCUACGGGAGGCAGCAGUAGGGAAUCUUCCGCAAUGGGCGAAAGCCUGACGGAGCAACGCCGCGUGAGUGAUGAAGGUCUUCGGAUCGUAAAACUCUGUUAUUAGGGAAGAACAUAUGUGUAAGUAACUGUGCACAUCUUGACGGUACCUAAUCAGAAAGCCACGGCUAACUACGUGCCAGCAGCCGCGGUAAUACGUAGGUGGCAAGCGUUAUCCGGAAUUAUUGGGCGCAAAGCGCGCGUAGGCGGUUUUUUAAGUCUGAUGUGAAAGCCCACGGCUCAACCGUGGAGGGUCAUUGGAAACUGGAAAACUUGAGUGCAGAAGAGGAAAGUGGAAUUCCAUGUGUAGCGGUGAAAUGCGCAGAGAUAUGGAGGAACACCAGUGGCGAAGGCGACUUUCUGGUCUGUAACUGACGCUGAUGUGCGAAAGCGUGGGGACCAAACAGGAUUAGAUACCCUGGUAGUCCACGCCGUAAACGAUGAGUGCUAAGUGUUAGGGGGUUUCCGCCCCUUAGUGCUGCAGCUAACGCAUUAAGCACUCCGCCUGGGGAGUACGACCGCAAGGUUGAAACUCAAAGGAAUUGACGGGGACCCGCACAAGCGGUGGAGCAUGUGGUUUAAUUCGAAGCAACGCGAAGAACCUUACCAAAUCUUGACAUCCUUUGACAACUCUAGAGAUAGAGCCUUCCCCUUCGGGGGACAAAGUGACAGGUGGUGCAUGGUUGUCGUCAGCUCGUGUCGUGAGAUGUUGGGUUAAGUCCCGCAACGAGCGCAACCCUUAAGCUUAGUUGCCAUCAUUAAGUUGGGCACUCUAAGUUGACUGCCGGUGACAAACCGGAGGAAGGUGGGGAUGACGUCAAAUCAUCAUGCCCCUUAUGAUUUGGGCUACACACGUGCUACAAUGGACAAUACAAAGGGCAGCGAAACCGCGAGGUCAAGCAAAUCCCAUAAAGUUGUUCUCAGUUCGGAUUGUAGUCUGCAACUCGACUACAUGAAGCUGGAAUCGCUAGUAAUCGUAGAUCAGCAUGCUACGGUGAAUACGUUCCCGGGUCU
RNAcentral lists this ribosomal RNA (1372 nucleotides) under uncultured bacterium. RNAcentral's name for it is "bacterial SSU rRNA". It matches the Rfam family "Bacterial small subunit ribosomal RNA", at positions 28 to 1381 of the family's 1533-position model. The record is from RNAcentral.